This is a long non-coding RNA of Strongylocentrotus purpuratus (purple sea urchin), 2812 nucleotides long. RefSeq lists it as uncharacterized. The record is from RefSeq and is a predicted model, not a curated record. The transcript has 3 exons. NCBI's taxonomy places the organism in Eukaryota, Metazoa, Echinodermata, Echinoidea, Camarodonta, Strongylocentrotidae.
UGAGACCGUCAUAACUACAAGUUCACCGACAUCCCAUUGAAACGUGUGUUAAACUUAAUACACACAUUUCAAUGGGAUGUCGUUGGACUUGUACUUAUGACGGUUUCAUGAAACGCUGCCCAGAUCCCCGACACCGAACACCUGGGGAGGUUUCACGAAACCGUCAUUAAGUCUAACUUUUUAGACAUCGUAUUGAAACGUGUGAUAGAGAUCUAACACGUGUUUCUACCAAAUCUCCACGAGCUUAGACUUAUGGCAGUUUCGAGAAACUAGCACUCGCUCUGAAUCUGGCGCAUCCACGGCCACGCUGGAAGCUCGGAUCUGACCGCCUGCGAUGCAUGCCCCGGACGCGACGGCAGCCCGCUCUCGAGCUAACUCUCCAUCGCAUCGUGCAGCUGUCUUUCUUCUCUUUCACGAACACGGUUGCCCGACUGAAACAACUAGACCACAUUAGUAUCCUGACAUCAAGAUAGGUCUCUAUUAUGUGCCCAUCCGUCUGAUUAAGUCUUCUUUGGAGCAAACUGUCAGACAUUUGCGGUAGUAUACAGCUGAAAUGGAAUUUCCGUUCAACCAAACAGUAUACUUCAAGGCUAUUUCUCAGCGACGAGGGUUAGCUCCAGGUAGCAGUAGCAGGCUGGAAGUAACACACAUGUGCAGUGUUUCAGUCGAAAACGAAUACCACCCAUUCAAAAUCGGUUAUAGGAUCUUGUCCAUAUGUCCAUAUUUUUGUAUGCAUGUGAAACAUGGACCAUGACAGCAGACAUUAAAAGAAGGAUACAGGCACUGGAGAUGAAAUGUUUCCGCAAACUCCUCAGUAUCUGGUAUAGAGAUCACAUAACCAACGAGGUAGUGAAAAUCAGAAUUGGAAACACCAUAGGGCCGUAUGAAGACCUCCUGACUUCAGUGAAAAGAUGCAAAGUAAAGUGGUAUGGGUAUGUCACAUGAUCAUUUGGACUGGCCAAGACUAUUCUACAUGGAACAGUACAAGGAGGGAGACGAAAAGGCAGGCAGAGGAAACGAUGGGAAGACAACAUUAACGAGUGACCUUGACUGAAACAUCAUACUUCGUAAAGCCAAGAACCACGAGGAGUGGAGGAAGCUGGUAGUAUAAAUCUUCAGUGGUGCCCCAAGGGUCAGCCAGACUGUGGGAUAGGUGAAGGUGAAGGUGAAGGAAGCUAAGAAUCAGAUAGUUAGACAUUAUAUUGGAUCAUUUAUCCUUUCCUUCAAAAGGAAUGUUGCUUUAUACUGUAGCACAUAAACAAUGCUUUUUAAUUGGCAAUAUUUCAGUUCAGUACGCUUGUUAUUAAUUUCAUCAAACAUUAAAAUGUAAAAGGGAGAAACACUGUCAUUUGAAAAUCAAAAUGUAAGUCAUAAAAUUUCACUGUCUAACUAUCUGAAUCUUGUCAGGAUCCAUGUACGAGUUAGUGCAAUUCUUUUCUCUUCACUACAACCGCAUUGAUUUACUUUAAUAGCAUGUUACUAGGUACAUCAAUUGAUGAGAAAAAGCAGCAAAACGCUUUAAAUUUGUUGUAGUCUUAAAAUUAAAGUUGGAAGUUUCCUAAAAAGGGAAUUUUAGAACACUCCUUCAACUGACAUGCACGGAUGUUAUACUUAUGAAUUUCCAUACAUUAAUGUCUUUGUAAUGCAUGUUACCAAACAAAAAAAAGUAUCAUCAACCAUUCUUGUCAUUUCCUGUGCAAUUAUUUUCACAUCCUGGCUUAACAGUACAUAAACAGUGCUCUUUUAUUUUCAAUAUUUCAGAAAAAUGCAUUUGCAUUAUGAUACAUGCAGGUAUAGUUGGUCAAGUAAGAAUAUAUUUACAGCAUGCUCACUAUGAAUUGAUUAAAUCGCCAUUGAAUCUAAAAGGUAUGUUAUACCUCAUUGUAUAUUCAGAAGGAAAAAGUGUGAGGAUAGCUUUAAAAAAAAAAAAAAAAAUCAUGAGUAUCCAUAAUGAUGUGAAUAUGUACAUGUUUGUUUGUUGCAUAUGAUUCUUCCUUGGUAUCAAAGCUGUAAUAAUUGCAUAUUUAUGAUUCAGCAUAAUACUUUGUUCAUUACAAAAAAAAAUAUGUCAUAAUUUUCCAAAACGGUAGUGUAAAGAAUAAUGUAAGAUUGAGGUAAGAUUGUUACAUAUAUUCUCUAUACGUAUCAACUAAAAUGUAAGUUUUCAAAUGAGAUACUAUUUUGUCCCCAGAUGAAAUAAGUAAUGGAUCUUUUUUGUUAAAUGUCAGCAAAUGAUCUAAAUGAACAUGUGUUCGGGUAUAUCAAAUCUUGUACAUGUAGUUUCUAUAGCUAAUAUAGUUUGGAGGACUUAAAGAUAGAAAAACUGCUGAUUGAUUAAUUACCAUUGUUUGUAUUGUUCACUAUAACCAGCAAGUAAAGGGACAUUUAGUAGAUGCCAAGAAAGUAUUUCCAAAGCAAUUACAUUUCUCUUAUCCUGUAAUGUAUUUUUUGCGUCAAUAAAAGCAAAUGUGAGGGUUGUCCACAUAACAUCACAACUACAGAACAGUUUAAUUGAAAUUAACAUACAUAUUACAUGUAUAUAUGUGUAUUAUGGAAUAACUUAGAAUAUUUCAUAAUUUGUUAUUAUUAUCCAGUUCAUUACAUUUUUACCAAUGUAUUUCUUCAAUAUUUCUACUUUUCCUCAGAGCAUAUGCUGUGAACUAAUGGAUAUUCCUUGUCAGUUCCAUCAUGUUAUGUCAAUGGGCUUACACUGUAUGCGUGUACAUGUCCUUUUUGCAAUGUACAUGUGCUACGAAAAUGUCAACAAUAUUGUUUGAGAUAUAAAAUAUAGAGUUAACAAGUGAAUUAUUCA